ACGCGAGCUGGGUUCAGAACGUCGUGAGACAGUUCGGUCCCUAUCCGUCGCAGGCGUAGGAAAUUUGAGAAGACCUGUCCUUAGUACGAGAGGACCGGGAUGGACGUACCUCUGGUGUACCAGUUGUCCUGCCAAGGGCAUGGCUGGGUAGCUAUGUACGGAAUGGAUAAGCGCUGAAAGCAUCUAAGCGCGAAGCCAACUUCAAGAUAAGAUUUCCCACCG
Molecule: ribosomal RNA, 222 nt
Filed under: Clostridioides difficile
Lineage: Bacteria; Bacillati; Bacillota; Clostridia; Peptostreptococcales; Peptostreptococcaceae
Description: partial 23S ribosomal RNA
Rfam family: Bacterial large subunit ribosomal RNA
Source: RNAcentral